UGCAAGUCGAGCGGACUGAUGGGAGCUUGCUCCCUGAUGUCAGCGGCGGACGGGUGAGUAACACGUGGGCAACCUGCCUGUAAGACUGGGAUAACUUCGGGAAACCGGAGCUAAUACCGGAUAAUUUCAGGAACCUCCUGGUUCCUGUAUAAAAGACGGCAUCUAGCUGUCACUUACAGAUGGGCCCGCGGCGCAUUAGCUAGUUGGUGAGGUAACGGCUCACCAAGGCGACGAUGCGUAGCCGACCUGAGAGGGUGAUCGGCCACACUGGGACUGAGACACGGCCCAAACUCCUACGGGAGGCAGCAGUAGGGAAUCUUCCGCAAUGGACGAAAGUCUGACGGAGCAACGCCGCGUGAGCGAUGAAGGCCUUCGGGUCGUAAAGCUCUGUUGUUAGGGAAGAACAAGUACCAAAGUAACUGCUGGUACCUUGACGGUACCUAACCAGAAAGCCACGGCUAACUACGUGCCAGCAGCCGCGGUAAUACGUAGGUGGCAAGCGUUGUCCGGAAUUAUUGGGCGUAAAGCGCGCGCAGGCGGUCCUUUAAGUCUGAUGUGAAAGCCCACGGCUCAACCGUGAAGGGUCAUUGGAAACUGGGGGACUUGAGUACAGAAAAGGAAAGUGGAAUUCCACGUGUAGCGGUGAAAUGCGUAGAGAUGUGGAGGAACACCAGUGGCGAAGGCGACUUUCUGGUCUGUAACUGACGCUGAGGCGCGAAAGCGUGGGGAGCAAACAGGAUUAGAUACCCUGGUAGUCCACGCCGUAAACGAUGAGUGCUAAGUGUUAGAGGGUUUCCGCCCUUUAGUGCUGAAGUUAACGCAUUAAGCACUCCGCCUGGGGAGUACGGUCGCAAGACUGAAACUCAAAGGAAUUGACGGGGGCCCGCACAAGCGGUGGAGCAUGUGGUUUAAUUCGAAGCAACGCGAAAACCUUACCAGGCUUGAAUC
Molecule: ribosomal RNA, 948 nt
Filed under: Priestia abyssalis
Lineage: Bacteria; Bacillati; Bacillota; Bacilli; Caryophanales; Bacillaceae
Description: bacterial SSU rRNA
Rfam family: Bacterial small subunit ribosomal RNA
Source: RNAcentral